This 500-nucleotide ribosomal RNA is filed under the name uncultured bacterium. RNAcentral's name for it is "partial 16S ribosomal RNA". It matches the Rfam family "Bacterial small subunit ribosomal RNA", at positions 30 to 523 of the family's 1533-position model. The record is from RNAcentral.
AUUGAACGCUGGCGGAAUGCUUUACACAUGCAAGUCGAACGGCAGCACGGACCUCGGUCUGGUGGCGAGUGGCGAACGGGUGAGUAAUAUAUCGGAACGUAUCCAAUAAUGGGGGAUAACUAAUCGAAAGGUUGGCUAAUACCGCAUACGUCCUACGGGAGAAAGCUAGGGACCUUCGGGCCUGGCGUUAAUGGAGCGGCCGAUAUCGGAUUAGCUAGUUGGUGAGGUAAAGGCUCACCAAGGCGACGAUCCGUAGCUGGUCUGAGAGGACGACCAGCCACACUGGAACUGAGACACGGUCCAGACUCCUACGGGAGGCAGCAGUGGGGAAUUUUGGACAAUGGGCGAAAGCCUGAUCCAGCCAUUCCGCGUGAGUGAAGAAGGCCUUCGGGUUGUAAAGCUCUUUCGCAAGAGAAGAAAACUUACCCUCUAACAUAGGGUGAGGUUGACGGUAUCUUGAUAAGAAGCACCGGCUAACUACGUGCCAGCCGCCGCCGUAA